Molecule: unclassified non-coding RNA, 367 nt
Filed under: soil metagenome
Description: partial contains 5.8S ribosomal RNA, internal transcribed spacer 2, and large subunit ribosomal RNA
Rfam family: 5.8S ribosomal RNA (bases 1-122)
Source: RNAcentral
GAUGAAGAACGUAGCGAAAUGCGAUACUUGGUGUGAAUUGCAGAAUCCCGUGAACCAUCGAGUUUUUGAACGCAAGUUGCGCCCGAAGUCGUUAGGCCGAGGGCACGCCUGCCUGGGUGUCACACAUCGUUGCCCCAAUGCCAAUCGCCUCACUUUGUAGGUAUUUGCUUGGGGUGAAUGUUGGCCUCCCGUGAGCUUUGUCUCACGGUUGGUUGAAAAUCGAGUGCAUGGUGUCGGGUGUACCAUGAUGGAUGGUGGUUGAGUGAUGAUGCUCGGUGACCCACAUGCGUCCCUUGGAUGCUCCCUAAGGAGACCUCAGGUCAGGCGGGGCUACCCACUGAGUUUAAGCAUAUCAAUAAGCGGAGGA